UUUCUAUAGUGAUUUACAAAAGUAGGUUUCUAUGUUUCCACAAAAUCUUUUCGCAAACAAAGCGGUAUAAAAAACAACAGCAAAAAAACAUCGUGCAGCUUAUAAAAUGCUUUUAAAAUGAUGUGAAGGCAUUUCUAUAACGAUUAGAUUCAUUUAUACAAUACAAUCAACCUUUUUAAACUGCAAAAAAAAGCAUAUUAUUUUCAAUCGAUCGUAUCUGUUUUUGAUUGUUCUGGAAAAAGAUGUAUUCAAAAAUUUUGUUCCAAAAAUUAGUCAUUCUUUUCCUUGCAGUUUUUUGUGCAAUUAUUUAUUUUUUUGCUUACUUCAAAGACGGUAUACAUCGGUUCCAAAUGGUUAAAUUGUGGCGUGGUGUUACACAAAAUGCUGCUAGAUUUUCGCAGAACUUUGAGUUUGAUCAAAAAUCCAAAGUUGAAAUUGUACAUUUGAAACACUUUUCGGAAAAUUUUUCUUCAACAAACCAACAAUUAUUUUUCACUGAAACAGGUUUUAGAAGCACUUUAAGAGGUCGCCAACUUUGUUCUAUCGAAUCUGCUAUUCUCAAUUCUGGCCUACGUGUUAAAGUUCUUAUGACAAAAAAUUAUUUGGAAGUAAAACAGAACUCUGUUAUUUCAAAUUUUCUUUACUAUUAUUAUCCAGAAAUAGUGGAUUUCUAUUACAUUGAUGCGGAAGAAAUAUUAAAAAACACACCACUGGAAGGAAUAUCCAAGACGAGAAUAACCCAAGGAAAAUACCGUGGAAAUCACUUAAGCGAUUUUGUCCGCCAUGCCCUCAUAUAUAAGUUUGGAGGUUGAGGGUCUCUACUAAAAAAACUGCCAGCAAAAAAAUUUUUUCUAACAAAAACAUAACAAACGAAAUAUUGUUUGUCGAUACCAUUGUUUGUCUACGACGUUAAAUUUAGAUUUAAUUUUUUGUACGAGAACUACCAGGGUAAUCUAUUUUUUAAAAUAUUCUAUUGACCCAUUUUUUAAUUCAAUUGUUCGAAGCUAGAUCGAUUCGAAAAUAUUUUUUACCUGCGUCAGACAAAGCGUGAAUCAUCUGUCGCCACUGAGUGUGGUGAUCAACUAUUGAUUUAAAAUUUUUUCAAAAAUUGCCUUCAUUGCUUUGUUAUUUUUUGCUGUGCAAAAUGGGAAUCAGAAAAACUUUGCCAGCUUAUAAAGUAGAAAGACCCUAUUUCUGUUGGUUUUUUUGUUUCCAAAACUUUUUUUCUUUAAACAAAACCGGGACAGUGAGCAUGAAAAACUGCAGCUCAAAGACUCUGAAAAACCUUUAACUUUUCAACUCACCUCCAUUUUUGUUUCUGAUUACAGGGUCCAAAAAAGCAACAAACUUAUUCAUUUACAUACAAAUCAAAUGGUAGCUGAUUUACUCAUUAUUAAAAAUAAAGUAAGUACCAAAAACCAAGAAGAUUAUUUAAAAAAUCAAAAAUGGUAAAUUAUCAGACAUUGAUCAAGGCAGAUGUAAGCAUGCCAUUAAAAUAAAUAGGAGUUUUUAGCCUGUUGAAAAAAGUUAUCCAGAGAAACGGAAAAAAUCUAAUUUUUGUAAUGCAGAACUACAAUAUGCAGACAAAAAAAUAAAGUUUGCAUGCAAAACUGUUUUUUGGAAAUGUUUGUAUGAGUGCAAAACUCAAUUUGCGAUUGAAAAAUUGGGACAAUUUUAAUGUUACUUGGAAAAACUUUGGUUGUCGCCAUCCAAAAAAAAUGGUGGUCGUACAAUUUUCAUAUAUGGAAAUUGUAUGAAAAACAUUUUUUUCCAAAAAAAAACAAAUUUUUUUUCACCACCAGACUGUUUUAUUUGGUUCAAACAGCCGCAGAAACUAAUUCGAAUUUUUUUCAAUGACUUUUUGAAACUGUGUGAAAAGUGUAUGACAUCAUUUUUCUACACAUUUGAUGUAUGGAAUUGUAUGAUAAGCAUUUUCGGUGGAUGAAAGUGUAAGAUAAUCAUUUUCUGUUUAUGGAGGUCAACCCGGGUAAGUAAUCCACUUUAGCAUUGUUUUGCUGAUCUGUAUUACGAGGCCAAACCGUGCAUUGGAUAGGCGCGCGAUUUUGUGUAUGUAUGUUCCUGGAUUCCAGAGACAAAUCUUUGAACAUUUUGAUAUUUUGUCGGAAUGAUUUAAGAAACUGAAAGAAUAAAAGUGUUAAGAUUCAGAGUUAGAGCAACUAGGAUUAAGAACUGCGGUUAGAGACUGAGAGAUAAUCUGAGGCUUGAAGUGAGGAUUGAGAAGAGGUAGUGAUUGAUGAAGAAGGAAUUGAGAAAGUGAAUAUAACUGACAUGACAAACUAAGCAUCACAAAAGUACCAUUUAAUAAAUUGGUGACUAAUUAAUUAGUUUGACCUAGUUGACCUUGUCUGACUUGGUCUGACCUCAACAAAAAGAAGAACAAAAGAGCGCGUCCUUGUUGCGUAAUCCGCUUUCAAUUUACAAAAUACACAGUUUAGUCUCGUAAUGCGUAGCCAAACAAUUCGAACUUUUCUCAAGAAGGUUUUUCUAUAACCAGUUACUAAUAACAAUCAAAAUAAGAGAAAAAUUGUAUUAGUCGACACCACUCCCCCGCCCCACUUUUAACAAAUCAACCCCCUCACGACUCGAAGAGUCCCUUUUUUGGUGUUGUUUUACGGUAUCCAUUUUUUGGCCGGCCUACAGACAGCUCUUGAAGGCUGACUAUAUUUGAGGGCUGAGCACACCGAAAAAACAGAAUUUAUGUUUAAAAAAAUUAUAAAUAAGGGCCUAAAACGGCACUUAUGUUUUUUUUUAAUCAGGCUCCUAAGGAACACUGUAACUCUCUAAGCAAAAACUAUUGCUCUUUUACUUAAUAGCCUCCCAUAAAAGGGGAUACUCGAGAACUUCAGCCGGUGUAAUUUUGCCCACUCGUUUCCAAGAAAAAAUUUAUUAAUUGAUAUUUGAGAUUUUAAAUACAGGUUUAAGACGCAUAUGUUUAUUUCCUAACCUAUCUCAAGUUUUGAAGAUAUAUGACAAACAAAAGUUUUCGAAAAUGAUCUCAUUAACAUUUUUUUAAAAGAUACAAUUUUAAAAAUUGAAAGGUUAAAUACGAAAAAGGAAUCGAAAAAGAAUUGACCCUCUCAGGUUUUUACGCGGACUUGGACGUUGUGAUUAUCCGGAAUUUGAAGGAGUUGCGAAAUGUAUAUUGUGUCGACCGAAUGUGGAACUACCAGAAAAUUCCUGAUAAUUGCACGUUGCCAGAAGCGACUCAAUUUGCAGACAGGGGACUUCAAACGGGGCAGUUUCAGUUCAACAAGGGCAGCAAAUUUGUUUAUGACGUCAUGGUAGAAAUGAACCGCACUUAUGACCAAAACAGAGAUACAUAUAUGGCUGCGGGAAUUCCUAUACCCUUUCGAGUAGCCAAAAAAUUCUUGAAUCGGGAGCAAGUUUACAACACAAACACGUCCGAGCUUACAAUUUUGCCGUCCUUUACUUUUCUCCCGGCUUACAAUUUAAUCGACGAAGUAUUUUUCUCGAAACAAGAGCGGAACGAGUCUUUCUGGCAACAUUUGUUCCGAUGUUCGUUUUCGACCCACAUGCUGAACUCGCGACUGAAGAAUUAUGCCGUGACAGGAGACGCGAAGCAUGAGAUGUACUCCUAUUUAGGACCUAGAUAUUGCCCCAAGUCUUUUAUUGAUCUCAAAAAAUUUUAAGCAACAAAAUUUUUCAGCAGUUAUUGAUGUAGUACUUGAGUACUAAUUUUCUUUCAGUAGAAACAGGCUGAAAACUCCGUAAUUACAUAAAAUUGACCUAAAUUUUAUAAGUAAAGUAAUGAAAAGAGGUCAAUAACGCCAAAUAUUUA
Molecule: long non-coding RNA, 3820 nt
Organism: Symsagittifera roscoffensis
Lineage: Eukaryota; Metazoa; Xenacoelomorpha; Acoela; Convolutidae
Exons: 3
Source: RefSeq, a predicted model, not a curated record